Molecule: non-coding RNA, 105 nt
Filed under: pig gut metagenome
Description: THF riboswitch
Rfam family: THF (Tetrahydrofolate) riboswitch aptamer
About the family: THF riboswitch presents a pseudoknot that joins P1-P2 and the loop of P3 and two THF binding.
Source: RNAcentral
GCAGAGUAGGUUUGUGCGCGUCAAGUGUCGGCUGGACGGGGAGUUGUCAGCCGGACGAAAAGAAAUGACGGAGUUUCUUGCGAUGCACAGGUCGCAUCCCGCUGC